This 465-nucleotide ribosomal RNA is filed under the name Vreelandella stevensii. RNAcentral's name for it is "partial 16S ribosomal RNA". It matches the Rfam family "Bacterial small subunit ribosomal RNA", at positions 338 to 795 of the family's 1533-position model. The record is from RNAcentral. Lineage: Bacteria; Pseudomonadati; Pseudomonadota; Gammaproteobacteria; Oceanospirillales; Halomonadaceae.
CCUACGGGUGGCAGCAGUGGGGAAUAUUGGACAAUGGGGGGAACCCUGAUCCAGCCAUGCCGCGUGUGUGAAGAAGGCCCUCGGGUUGUAAAGCACUUUCAGUGAGGAAGAACGCCUGGUGGUUAAUACCCAUCAGGAAAGACAUCACUCACAGAAGAAGCACCGGCUAACUCCGUGCCAGCAGCCGCGGUAAUACGGAGGGUGCGAGCGUUAAUCGGAAUUACUGGGCGUAAAGCGCGCGUAGGUGGCUUGAUAAGCCGGUUGUGAAAGCCCCGGGCUCAACCUGGGAACGGCAUCCGGAACUGUCAAGCUAGAGUGCAGGAGAGGAAGGUAGAAUUCCCGGUGUAGCGGUGAAAUGCGUAGAGAUCGGGAGGAAUGCCAGUGGCGAAGGCGGCCUUCUGGACUGACACUGACACUGAGGUGCGAAAGCGUGGGUAGCAAACAGGAUUAGAUACCCCUGUAGUC